Molecule: ribosomal RNA, 383 nt
Filed under: uncultured bacterium
Lineage: Bacteria
Description: bacterial SSU rRNA
Rfam family: Bacterial small subunit ribosomal RNA
Source: RNAcentral
GGACGAACGCUGGCGGCGUGCUUAACACAUGCAAGUCGAGCGGAAAGGCCCUUCGGGGUACUCGAGCGGCGAACGGGUGAGUAACACGUGAGCAACCUGCCCUGGACUUUGGGAUAACCCUCGGAAACGGGGGCUAAUACCGGAUAUUACCUUUGCCCGCAUGGGUGUUGGUGGAAAGUUUUUCGGUCUGGGAUGGGCUCGCGGACUAUCAGCUUGUUGGUGGGGUGAUGGCCUACCAAGGCGACGACGGUAGCCGGCCUGAGAGGGCGACCGGCCACACUGGGACUGAGACACGGCCCAGACUCCUACGGGAGGCAGCAGUGGGGAAUAUUGCACAAUGGGCGGAAGCCUGAUGCAGCGACGCCGCGUGAGGGAUGACGGCC